GAUGAACGCUGGCGGCGUGCCUAAUACAUGCAAGUCGAGCGAACAGAUGAGAAGCUUGCUUCUCUGAUGUUAGCGGCGGACGGGUGAGUAACACGUGGGUAACCUACCUAUAAGACUGGGAUAACUCCGGGAAACCGGGCUAAUACCGGAUAAUAUUUUGAACCGCAUGGUUCAAUAGUGAAAGACGGUUUCGGCUGUCACUUAUAUAUGGACCCGCGCCGUAUUAGCUAGUUGGUAAGGUAACGGCUUACCAAGGGCGACGAUACGUAGCCGACCUGAGAGGGGUGAUCGGGCCACACUGGGAACUGAGACACGGGUCCAGACUCCUACGGGGGAGGCAGCAGUAGGGGAAUCUUCCGCAAUGGGGGC
Molecule: ribosomal RNA, 369 nt
Filed under: uncultured Staphylococcus sp.
Lineage: Bacteria; Bacillati; Bacillota; Bacilli; Caryophanales; Staphylococcaceae
Description: bacterial SSU rRNA
Rfam family: Bacterial small subunit ribosomal RNA
Source: RNAcentral